GAGAGUUUGAUCCUGGCUCAGAUUGAACGCUGGCGGCAUGCUUUACACAUGCAAGUCGAACGGCAGCACGGGCUUCGGCCUGGUGGCGAGUGGCGAACGGGUGAGUAAUACAUCGGAACGUACCCAGAAGUGGGGGAUAACGUAGCGAAAGUUACGCUAAUACCGCAUACGUUCUACGGAAGAAAGUGGGGGAUCGCAAGACCUCAUGCUUUUGGAGCGGCCGGUGUCUGAUUAGCUAGUUGGUGAGGUAAAAGCUCACCAAGGCGACGAUCAGUAGCUGGUCUGAGAGGACGACCAGCCACACUGGAACUGAGACACGGUCCAGACUCCUACGGGAGGCAGCAGUGGGGAAUUUUGGACAAUGGGCGCAAGCCUGAUCCAGCAAUGCCGCGUGAGUGAAGAAGGCCUUCGGGUUGUAAAGCUCUUUUGUCAGGGAAGAAACGGUAGAGGCUAAUAUCCUUUGCUAAUGACGGUACCUGAAGAAUAAGCACCGGCUAACUACGUGCCAGCAGCCGCGGUAAUACGUAGGGUGCAAGCGUUAAUCGGAAUUACUGGGCGUAAAGCGUGCGCAGGCGGUUUUGUAAGUCUGACGUGAAAGCCCCGGGCUCAACCUGGGAAUUGCGUUGGAGACUGCAAGGCUUGAAUCUGGCAGAGGGGGGUAGAAUUCCACGUGUAGCAGUGAAAUGCGUAGAGAUGUGGAGGAACACCGAUGGCGAAAGCAGCCCCCUGGGUCAAGAUUGACGCUCAUGCACGAAAGCGUGGGGAGCAAACAGGAUUAGAUACCCUGGUAGUCCACGCCCUAAACGAUGUCUACUAGUUGUCGGGUUUUAAUUAACUUGGUAACGCAGCU
RNAcentral lists this ribosomal RNA (850 nucleotides) under uncultured bacterium. RNAcentral describes it as "bacterial SSU rRNA". It matches the Rfam family "Bacterial small subunit ribosomal RNA", at positions 8 to 853 of the family's 1533-position model. The record is from RNAcentral.